This 2301-nucleotide ribosomal RNA is filed under the name Triticum aestivum (bread wheat). RNAcentral's name for it is "partial small subunit ribosomal RNA". Lineage: Eukaryota; Viridiplantae; Streptophyta; Magnoliopsida; Poales; Poaceae. The record is from RNAcentral.
AUGCUGCCGGGAAGCUCCCGCCUCCCCGCCGGCGCCUCUGCGCUGGAGGCGCCCGAGGGCCGCCCGGCCUUCGUUAGCGUGCACAAGCGCAUCGACCACCCCGUCCCCGCGUCUGCGGUCCGCCGCUGGGCUCCCGAUCCCCCGGUGGUUCGCUCCGGCCGUCCGGAGUGCGGGCCCACCGUGUACCUGCAGACGACCCCCGAGAUGAGCCGCGUGGCCAGGUGCACCGGCUACGCCUUCAUCACCCCCGACCCGGCUGGCCGCGAGGUCGCGGACCUCAAGGCCCUCGUCCGCUCCGCCAUCCACGCCGCGGCGCCGGACCUGUAGCAGCCGUUCGAGCUCGACGGCUACUCGGUGCAGGUCGUGCCCGAGGGGCAGCAGAGGAACUACUACCGGUCCCGGCUGGACUACCUCGUCCACAUCAACCUGCACAGCUACCCCACGGAGGAGCGGGCGGAGAAGGACAUCAGCGCCAACAUGGCCAGCAUCGGCCACGUGGUCGAGAUCGACCCCGCCUGCCUCACCGCGCCGGACCUCUCCCCGCUCCGCCUCGUCGUCCGGGUGGAGCACCCUCGCGAAAUCGCUCGCGAGCUCCGGAUCCGGUACGUUGGUUUUUAUGGCAGCGGCGAAGCCUGUCCCAGGGAAGUCGCUCGCAGCAUCAUACCCAUCGAGAUCGUCAAGGCUGAGAUCUGGUUAGGACACUGGGGGUUAUGUGCUCUGACUGGUGGGGUCCACCUAUGGCCACGUAGUCAAGAGUCAACCGUCCAUGACUCGACCGGUGACUGUGUGACCGUGCUCGACUCGCCCGUGCUGGACUGGGCGAGCGGCGCCGCCGUAAGCAUCUUCUCCGGCAGUGGUUUCUUCUCCGCGGUGGUGGAGCGCAUUUCUCGGCAGCGGCAGAGCUAUUGCGAGGAGAUGGAGCGAGGGCUAGAUGAGAUGGAGCGAGGAGACGGGCUGCCCCGAGGAGACAGUGCUUCAAAUCGGGGAGGUUCAGGUUCUGCCACCACAUUCGCAAUUAUAGUGGAAUUUUUUCCCUGUAAAGCCAAGCUCAGUGAUGGCAGUGUCCAAGACAUUGAUAGAGAUACCACCGUGAGGUUGGAUGUCGAUUUUGCAGAUGUUGAUCCCCAGGAAUUGGAGAUCAUGAAGGAGAAGGCCGUGGGCAAUUUGGUGGAGAGAAUUGGGGAGAGUAUUGUUUGGGGUCCAGAACAAGAGGUAUCUCUGCAACGUUUCGAUAACUAUAAUGGUGAAUAUGUGAGAAUUGAAGAUGGAGAAUCCAUGGUUGCUGAAAUUGAUCAGCAAGGAGGAUGGGCAAGCAAACAAGUAACAUUUUAUGCAGAACUAAUUGAUCUGCAAACUCAUUCCAGAGUUGGUUAUGUGCCAUCAAAGAUGGCUGCACAGAUGGAAGAUGAUGAGUGGGUUUCACAAAAGAAGAUGUUGGCAUUGUUGACUGAACCGACUAUAGUAGCUGAAGAUACUGGGAUUGAUGCAGAUGGAGAGGAGGGAACCCAUGGUGCUAGGAAGAUUGUUGUUGACUGGAAUGUAGUAGAGUUGAAUGAAAAAACAGAUUUGGUCAUUACACCAAUAUCUGACAUUGAUAUGGCCGAAAUGUUUGGCAUUCAAGUUGAUGACAAAGAUAAGGAGAAGGAUGACAGUUCUUUGCCAGCUGAAGGUAACACAGGCCCUAGAAAUGCAAAUGAGGAUGAAGAACACCUGAUGAGAGAGGCUGCAGAUGAUGUGGAUGAUGCAGAUGAUAAUGAGCUGGUUUGUUUGUAUGACAAAGAGAACCCAGUUAUUGAGGUGGGAAAGUUGUGGCCAAGCAUGAAGGAGUUUAGGAUGUCUUUCAGGACCUAUGCAGUGAAAAAAGAGUUUGAUGCCAAGACUAUGUGGACUGAUCGAAAAAAAAUUUAUGCUCGGUGCAAAGGUUAUGAUGGUGGUGGCAAUCCUUGCAAAUGGUACUUGUCUGCCAGACUACAACCUGAUGGAAGUACAACGUUAGGGCAAUCUGAAACUGUUGCAGAUGAAGCAACUGUUGUGCUGCCAUUCGAAUCUGCUUUGACAACUGUGUUGCCAUGUUUGGAGGUUGUGCUGCCAAGUGUUGAGUUGCAAACUGAAGUAGUUGAACAAUGUGUGCCAUCUACUCAAUCUGCAGAAGUGCAAACUGAAGAAGUGAGACAUGGUCAGGUGCAAAAAUUGAGGGGGCCAAAAAGCAAGAGCAUCAGCAUCAACAAACUAUGCGCCGUGGAACCAAACGGUGGAAAAAAGCAGAAGAAAUCGAGUGGUAGAAAGAAGCAGAAGAAAUAG